RNAcentral lists this ribosomal RNA (910 nucleotides) under uncultured rumen bacterium. RNAcentral describes it as "bacterial SSU rRNA". It matches the Rfam family "Bacterial small subunit ribosomal RNA". The record is from RNAcentral.
GUGCCUAACACAUGCAAGCUCGAACGGGGUUAACACGCUGACGAGNACUUCGGUCAAAAUCUUGUGUUAACUUAGUGGCGAACGGGUGAGUAACGCGUGGGCAACCUGCCCCGUACCGGGGGAUAGCGGCUGGAAACGGCCGGUAAUACCGCAUAAGCGCACGGUGUGGCAUCACACAGUGUGAAAAACUCCGGUGGUACGGGAUGGGCCCGCGUCUGAUUAGCCAGUUGGUGAGGUAACGGCUCACCAAAGCGACGAUCAGUAGCCGGGCUGAGAGGCCGGACGGCCACAUUGGGACUGAGACACGGCCCAGACUCCUACGGGAGGCAGCAGUGGGGGAUAUUGCACAAUGGAGGAAACUCUGAUGCAGCGACGCCGCGUGAGUGAAGAAGUAUUUCGAUAUGUAAAGCUCUAUCAGCAGGGAAGAAAGCCCUCGUAAGAGGGGAUGACGGUACCUGACUAAGAAGCCCCGGCUAACUACGUGCCAGCAGCCGCGGUAAUACGUAGGGGGCAAGCGUUAUCCGGAUUUACUGGGUGUAAAGGGAGCGCAGACGGUCAUACAAGUCUGAAGUGAAACCCCACGGCUCAACUGUGGGCUUGCUUUGGAAACUGCGUGACUUGAGUGCCGGAGGGGUAAGCGGAAUUCCCGGUGUAGCGGUGAAAUGCGUAAAUAUCGGGAAGAACACCGGCGGCGAAGGCGGCUUACUGGACGGCACUGACNUUAGGCUCGAGGCGUGGGAGCAACAGGAUANAUACCUGGUAGUCACGCGUAACAUGAUACUAGUGUGGGAGCAAGCUUUCAUGCGGACUACUGUAGUUUCNCUGGGAUNCUUCCCAGAUAACUAAGAUGCGGACCCCANCGUGACUNGUUAUNNGCACCNAACUCNGCUGAUCGUAUGGAAUCCACUNG